This 57-nucleotide transfer RNA is filed under the name Mesocricetus auratus (golden hamster). RNAcentral also lists the same sequence under 1 other name. Lineage: Eukaryota; Metazoa; Chordata; Mammalia; Rodentia; Cricetidae. The record is from Rfam by way of RNAcentral.
GGCUCAGAGGUUAAGAGCACUGGCUGCUCUUCCAGAGGACCUGGGUUCAAUUCCCAG